Molecule: ribosomal RNA, 497 nt
Filed under: uncultured bacterium
Lineage: Bacteria
Description: partial 16S ribosomal RNA
Rfam family: Bacterial small subunit ribosomal RNA
Source: RNAcentral
GAUGAACGCUGGCGGCGUGCCUAAUACAUGCGAGUCGAGCGAACAGAUAAGGAGCUUGCUCCUUUGACGUUAGCGGCGGACGGGUGAGUAACACGUGGGUAACCUACCUAUAAGACUGGAAUAACUCCGGGAAACCGGGGCUAAUGCCGGAUAACAUGUUGAACCGCAUGGUUCUACAGUGAAAGGCGGCUUUGCUGUCACUUAUAGAUGGACCCGCGCCGUAUUAGCUAGUUGGUGAGGUAACGGCUCACCAAGGCAACGAUUCGUAGCCGACCUGAGAGGGUGAUCGGCCACACUGGAACUGAGACACGGUCCAGACUCCUACGGGAGGCAGCAGUAGGGAAUCUUCCGCAAUGGGCGAAAGCCUGACGGAGCAACGCCGCGUGAGUGAUGAAGGUCUUCGGAUCGUAAAACUCUGUUAUUAGGGAAGAACAAAUGCGUAAGUAACUGUGCGCGUCUUGACGGUACCUAAUCAGAAAGCCACGGCUAACUACGUG